RNAcentral lists this ribosomal RNA (1047 nucleotides) under Macrobdella diplotertia. RNAcentral's name for it is "eukaryotic LSU rRNA". It matches the Rfam family "Eukaryotic large subunit ribosomal RNA", at positions 137 to 957 of the family's 3401-position model. Lineage: Eukaryota; Metazoa; Annelida; Clitellata; Hirudinida; Hirudinidae. The record is from RNAcentral.
UUGGAACUGUGGUGUUUGAGUCGGGCCUUGGCGCGUUCUCUCUGCGUCCGCGUCCCUCUGAUCGGGGCUUUGCCCAUAGCGGGUGUCAGGCCUCUAGGGCGCGGAGAGUGCGAGCGCGGCUCGAUUCYGGAGUCGGGUUGUUUGAGAUUGCAGCCCAAAGUGGGUGGUAAACUCCAUCUAAGGCUAAAUAUUACCACGAGUCCGAUAGCGAACAAGUACCGUGAGGGAAAAUUGAAAAGAACUUUGAAGAGAGAGUUCAACAGUACGUGAAACCGUUUAGAGGUAAACGGACGGGAACGCAAAGUCUGCCGCUCGGAUUCAACUCGUCAGCCCGCGGGGGUCCGACUUCGCGCAUCCUGCUUCUCUUCGCGGGGGGGCGGGAGCUCGUGGUCGGAUCGUUCUGCGGGCGACGGGCGCACUUUCGGGCGGCGGAGCGCCACGACCGGUUCGCGGGCGAUCAAAAACCGUCGAGAGAGGUAACCUUCGCUUCGGCGUCGGCGCUAUAAUCUCGGCGUGUCGGCGGCUCGCUCGCGGACCGAGGACGACGUACGCGGCCGCGCGUCGACCCGGCGGGUUGUUCGGACGUUCGACCUGGGAGGACUGCUCGCGCAGUGCUUCCUAACCGCGUUCGGAUACGCUCGUCGGACUCGGCGCUCGGCUCGGGGUCUGUGGCGAAUCGGUCGUCAACCCGUCCGACCCGUCUUGAAACACGGACCAAGGAGUCUAACACGUGCGCGAGUCGCAGGGUAGUACGAAACCCGAAGGCGCAACGAAAGUGAACCUUUUCUUACGAAUCGGUAGGUGGGAUCCCGGACCGAAUCCCGCUCGCGGGAAGAAUGGGCGCACCACCGGCCUGUCUCGGCCGCGACGUCGGCGAGGCGGAGCAAGAGCGUACGCGUUGGGACCCGAAAGAUGGUGAACUAUGCCUGAGCAGGAUGAAGCCAGAAGAAAUUCUGGUGGAGGUCCGCAGCGAUUCUGACGUGCAAAUCGAUCGUCAAACUUGGGUAUAGGGGCGAAAGACUAAUCGAACCAUCUAGUAGCUGGUUC